AGAUGAACGCUGGCGGCGUGCCUAAUACAUGCAAGUCGAGCGAACAGACGAGGAGCUUGCUCCUCUGACGUAGCGGCGGACGGGUGAGUAACACGUGGAUAACCUACCUAUAAGACUGGGAUAACUUCGGGAAACCGGAGCUAAUACCGGAUAACAUGUUGAACCGCAUGGUUCAACAGUGAAAGACGGUCUUGCUGUCACUUAUAGAUGGAUCCGCGCCGCAUUAGCUAGUUGGUAAGGUAACGGCUUACCAAGGCAACGAUGCGUAGCCGACCUGAGAGGGUGAUCGGCCACACUGGAACUGAGACACGGUCCAGACUCCUACGGGAGGCAGCAGUAGGGAAUCUUCCGCAAUGGGCGAAAGCCUGACGGAGCAACGCCGCGUGAGUGAAGAAGGUCUUCGGAUCGUAAAACUCUGUUAUUAGGGAAGAACAAAUGUGUAAGUAACUAUGCACGUCUUGACGGUACCUAAUCAGAAAGCCACGGCUAACUACGUGCCAGCAGCCGCGGUAAUACGUAGGUGGCAAGCGUUAUCCGGAAUUAUUGGGCGUAAAGCGCGCGUAGGCGGUUUUUUAAGUCUGAUGUGAAAGCCCACGGCUCAACCGUGGAGGGUCAUUGGAAACUGGAAAACUUGAGUGCAGAAGAGGAAAGUGGAAUUCCAUGUGUAGCGGUGAAAUGCGCAGAGAUAUGGAGGAACACCAGUGGCGAAGGCGACUUUCUGGUCUGUAACUGACGCUGAUGUGCGAAAGCGUGGGGAUCAAACAGGAUUAGAUACCCUGGUAGUCCACGCCGUAAACGAUGAGUGCUAAGUGUUAGGGGGUUUCCGCCCCUUAGUGCUGCAGCUAACGCAUUAAGCACUCCGCCUGGAGACACGAGUUGU
This 880-nucleotide ribosomal RNA is filed under the name Staphylococcus sp. M_A_10/11_9_1. RNAcentral describes it as "bacterial SSU rRNA". It matches the Rfam family "Bacterial small subunit ribosomal RNA", at positions 26 to 889 of the family's 1533-position model. Lineage: Bacteria; Bacillati; Bacillota; Bacilli; Caryophanales; Staphylococcaceae. The record is from RNAcentral.